RNAcentral lists this ribosomal RNA (445 nucleotides) under uncultured bacterium. Its description in RNAcentral is "bacterial SSU rRNA". It matches the Rfam family "Bacterial small subunit ribosomal RNA", at positions 330 to 792 of the family's 1533-position model. The record is from RNAcentral.
CCCGGACUCCUACGGGAGGCAGCAGUGGGGGAUAUUGGACAAUGGGGGGAACCCUGAUCCAGCGACGCCGCGUGAGUGAAGAAGUAUUUCGGUAUGUAAAGCUCUAUCAGCAGGGAAGAAAAUGACGGUACCUGAUUAAGAAGCCCCGGCUAACUACGUGCCAGCAGCCGCGGUAAUACGUAGGGGGCAAGCGUUAUCCGGAUUUACUGGGUGUAAAGGGAGCGUAGACGGCGGCACAAGUCUGAAGUGAAAUCCCAUGGCUUAACCAUGGAACUGCUUUGGAAACUGUGCAGCUGGAGUGCAGGAGAGGUAAGCGGAAUUCCUAGUGUAGCGGUGAAAUGCGUAGAUAUUAGGAGGAACACCAGUGGCGAAGGCGGCUUACCGGACUGUAACUGACGUUGAGGCUCGAAAGUGUGGGGAGCAAACAGGAUUAGAUACCCGUGUA